AGGCGUCGCCCGCUCCGGAGCACCGGCCGCUGCCGCCGGUUCCGAGGCCCCGUCAGCGCCGACCCCGCCGCGGCCGCUCUUUUGCUUGGUCUGGAAGUUCGCAAAAGUUAUGCACGAGGAUCUUAACUCCACUUCUGAGGUUUUUUUCUGCAAUUCUCUAAUGAUCUUGACCAAAAGUAUUAACCCCCGAUCCAAAGUCCUGCUGUUACUUGCUUCAACUACUGUUGCCACAGCUGCUUGAGAUGAGCUGUGUCUUCUGUUCCUUUGAAAAUUUGUUCAAAUAUGUAUCUUUAUACAUCUUUAGCGUGCCAGUGUCUCCAUGUUUAUGCCCGUCCCAGUCUGUCAGAAGACCCCAGUGCGGAAUCAUCCGAUUACCCCUCAGCUAUCAAGCUUUUUUAUUAUAAGUAGUUACUGAUUUUGCAUUCCUGUGUAAGCCCUCGGCCAGAAGCUGUUACAUGACAAUCCAGUUGCUCUCAGGUUCUCACUGGUUGUACUUUGCCCUCUUCUUUCAACAUUCCUCUCUCAGCUCUGCUCUCUCUUUCUAUUGACAUUUUUACUAUUGACAUCUCUGCUGGCAACCCUGCUGCUUCAUGUCUGUCUUUGCCUUGAAGGUGCCCCUGCCAAUGUACUCUCGGUCUUCCUUUUCCCAACUGCCAGAGGGUCAUUUCUGGCAUCCCACCUUCUUCUGUCUCUACUUAACUGCAAGCCGGCUUCCUUUGCCAUCGACCGAACAAUUGCAGUUUUCCGUAGCUGCUUCCAAAUGCUGUACAGUCUCUUGAUUACAAUUUACUAACAUCCCCCAAAGCAUCAGGCUUGCUGUUUGGCCAGAAUUCGAGAGGGAAGAGUUACUGGUUUCAGCUGCAGCCAGUUAGCUAAACUGCAGCCCGAGGACUCACCUUUGAGGCAGACCUACCCAGCAGGGUCUGGGCUUCGGAUGCAGCCCCCAGCCUAGUUUGAUGGAGUGAAAGCUGUCGUGGAUGACCAACAUAAUCUAAUAAACUCCUUUCUGUGUUUAAGAAACAUUCAACUAUACGGCUUAGUUUUUUAUGUAUUUGAGUGGGAUAAUGCUUCUGAUGUAUUUAUUUGUACAUAAUGCUUUCCUUUCCAACGUGUUCUUCUGCACUUUAGAAACACAGCAUUAUUUUUCUCAGAAAUUUUAGACAGCAGUAACUGUGAACAAAUGUUUAAAUUUUCUGAAACCAAGUAAAAUAUUAUUUAAAAGGUUCUCAACUCUAAAAAUGAAAUUAUGCUUACAGUUCUGAUUACAUACAUAAAUAAAUCUGUCAUCAGCAAAUGCAAAACAAAUUAUUGUGGAGAAUCUAGCUUAAACACAACCUGUCAUAGCCAAUUUAAUUAAAAACUGGUGUGUACCUAGAUUAUUUUCUACCUUCACCAGGAUGUGUCUGAUCAAAAAGGAAACCAACCAGGCAGACCAGGAAAUCGUGGAAAGACUGUCAGCUCCUUUGAGUGCUGUGUUCAAAUAUAUGUCUGAUCCAAUUAAACCCAAGUAAGUGGUCAAAAAGCUAUGGCAUGCUUUCCCAACAACUUCUCCUGUGACAAAACUUAGCAUAUGUACUUCAGCGAAGCACUACAGUUACUGAGAUAAGCAGACCAGACAGAAGUGUUACUAAUUCCUUUUCAACCUAUUUAAAUACACUGCCAUCACCUGCACUUAAUGUUGGGUCUUUUGCCUUAACAAGGUGACAUUAAAGCCUCAGUUCUGGAAAGAAGAAGAACGUAAAUGUGUUUUAAGAAAAUUAUUAGUUCCGUGAUCAAAAUAAAGGGAGGUGAUACUUACUAAAAAAUGAUAGCAGAUAAUGAAAAGCAGGAGGGAGAAAAAAAGCUUUUAUUUCAAACAGAAAUAAAAGUGCUGCUAAGAAGAGUUUGUCCAAACAGAAAUGCAGUAUCUUCAGUUUGAGAGCUAUAUUAGGAAACAGCUAAGCCAUACAAUCGGUCAGUUUAAAUAUGCCAUGGUUUGGACUAUCUCCAUCUUCAUAUCAAGUUCAGGAGUCACAUGGAUGAGUUCAUCCUACAAUCAGGGUCUAGAAAGUCUUUGUACUGUUACACGUAUCUACUUUAACUGUUAACUUCGUGUUCUGUAAAUAGGUCUCUUGAAAAGUAAAUGUCAUCCUACGGAAGGCCCUACGAGUCCUGGAAAGAGCAUUAUCAGGUUUGGGCAAAGGACAAACACUAUGUAGCUGCCCUACAGUGCCACUCGUUAUUGGGGGUGGGAGGGAUUUCAAAUUCUUGUGCUAAUUUAAAACUAAAGCUACAUCUCCCAAAAUCAUCAUCAUUAUAUUAGUUGUAUUAUUUGCGUGGGGACAUGAAGACACAGUUUUCUCGGUAGCUGCUGUAGGAGCAUGGCAUUUGCUUUCAGAGUACCUCAGCAUGACCCUGAACCUCCCCAUCGUCCCAACAAAAUGCAGGCAUUAGGUAUAUAAAAAACAGCUUUCCCAGCGUUAUUUAAAAAGACCUCAAGCCUCUGUGCGGGGGUGACAAGAGAGAGAAAUAAGACACGUAAGGUGUUUUAUAAAGAUAUAUUUUAACUUCUAAAGCACUCAGGAACCAUGGUGAUGAAUGUGACACAAACUUAAAUUGCUUAGAUAUGAGCUCUGAUCCACAGGGAACUAUCCUAAGAUUCAUAAAGAGCAUCAGAUGCUAAUAACUUCCCAUCAGCACCUACCUGGGCUUGAUUUAACUGGUGACAUACAGCUGAAAUCCCUUGAGACUGACUUUCAUUUAAAUGUCGACCACUGCUUUGACAGUAUAAAGUGACCUCAGCGAAAUUAGGAUCUCGCUGUAAUCUUACGCCAUUGGGAAGUUAAAAACAGUCUCUCACCCAAAUUGCUGGGCAACUGAUGCCAAAACAAAUUUACUUUUUUCCCCCAGUAUUUGCUUUUUUUCCCCAUUCAACAUUCUGACUGAUUUUGCAGGAAGCUUAUAGUGGCUUAUACACCACGGUGUUAAAACUAGUAAACAGAUUGCUAUGUUUGUUUUGUGCAUGCCAAGGGGAGCACAAAAGAUUAUUAAUUGCAGAACUAUACUGUCAGUAACAACCUUGAUCUUGCACCGGGUAUCAUUCUGUCACUGUCAGAAUCUGUCACUGUUGUAGGAGAUGUCUUGUAUUAUCUAUCAUGUUCUUGUGAGAUUUGCUGUUCACAAACACAGUUUGAAAACACAGUUGCGAUUUCAAGUCAUUUUUAUGUUCCUUAGUUUUGUGCAAGUAGUUUACAAUUAUACUCUAAAUAUUUUAAAAGGGAUCCAUUUUUCAGCAACCUUAAAAGCUUAUUAUAUAAUUCUAACAAUUUUCAUUAAUAUACGGACAAUUUGUUGCUGUCUAUGCAAAAUUAAGUUGCUUUUAUUUUUCAACUGCAGUAGCAGCAGUAUCCAGGCACUGUCCUGCACUUCAGUAAUGGAAAUUUCCCAGCCUCAAAGCGCACUCUGUCUCAGUCAGCUGCAAUAAAACUCUGAGUGAUUUCAA
This is a long non-coding RNA of Aquila chrysaetos chrysaetos, 3481 nucleotides long. RefSeq lists it as uncharacterized. The record is from RefSeq and is a predicted model, not a curated record. NCBI's taxonomy places the organism in Eukaryota, Metazoa, Chordata, Aves, Accipitriformes, Accipitridae. The transcript has 2 exons.